GAUGAACGCUGGCGGCGUGCCUAAUACAUGCAAGUCGUACGGAAAGGCCCUUCGGGGUACUCGAGUGGCGGACGGCUGAGUAACGCGUGGGAACGUGCCCCAAAGUGAGGGAUAACGCACCGAAAGGUGUGCUAAUACCGCAUAUGGUCUUCGGAUUAAAGCUUCGGCGCUUUGGGAGCGGCCCGCGUACGAUUAGAUAGUUGGUGAGGUAAUGGCUCGCCAAGUCGACGAUCGUUAGCUGGUCUGAGAGGAUGAUCAGCCAGACUGGGACUGAGACACGGCCCAGACUCCCACGGGAGGCAGCAGUAAGGAAUCUUCCACAAUGGGGGCAACCCUGAUGGAGCAACGCCGCGUGCAGGAUGAAUGCCUUCGGGUUGUAAACUGCUUUUAUAUGUGACGAUUAUGACGGUAGCAUAUGAAUAAGGAUCGGCUAACUCCGUGCCAGCCGCCGCCGUAA
RNAcentral lists this ribosomal RNA (457 nucleotides) under uncultured bacterium. Its description in RNAcentral is "partial 16S ribosomal RNA". It matches the Rfam family "Bacterial small subunit ribosomal RNA", at positions 28 to 523 of the family's 1533-position model. The record is from RNAcentral.